GUAGGGGGCGAVCGUUGUCCGGAAUUACUGGGCGUAAAGAGCACGUAGGCGGGUAUUUAAGUCAGGUGUGAAAGACCGCGGCCCAACUGCGGGGUUGCACUUGAAACUGAAUAUCUUGAGGGCAGGAGAGGUCAGUGGAAUUCCUGGUGUAGCGGUGAAAUGCGUAGAUAUCAGGAGGAACACCAGUGGCGAAGGCGACUGACUGGACUGACCCUGACGCUGAGGUGCGAAAGCGUGGGUAGCAAACAGGAUUAGAUACCCUGGUAGUCCACGCCGUAAACGAUGGAUACUAGGUGUGGGAGGUAUCGACCCCUUCCGUGCCGGAGCUAACGCAAUAAGUAUCCCGCCUGGGGAGUACGGUCGCAAGGCUG
RNAcentral lists this ribosomal RNA (371 nucleotides) under uncultured bacterium. RNAcentral's name for it is "bacterial SSU rRNA". It matches the Rfam family "Bacterial small subunit ribosomal RNA", at positions 527 to 896 of the family's 1533-position model. The record is from RNAcentral.